Schizosaccharomyces pombe (fission yeast) is the source of this 754-nucleotide non-coding RNA. The record is from the annotation of a GenBank genome assembly. NCBI's taxonomy places the organism in Eukaryota, Fungi, Ascomycota, Schizosaccharomycetes, Schizosaccharomycetales, Schizosaccharomycetaceae.
AUGAAUAGGAGGUGCCACCACGUUCAGAACGUUGUGAAUUGUAUUGCUUAAUGUGGGAAGGGCCUUACUCCUUAUUCCAUUGCUCAAAUCUCCUAAAAGACAUUUGUUAGCAAAAGGAACUCUUUCUUCCAAAAGAGAAAUUCUACUUACCAAGCUUGUUCAAGUCCACCAUAUUACGCACGUUAAUAUCCCAGUUGGCAUUCUCUUCAAACCCUUUUAUGGAGCGAACUCGUUGUUCAGCUGAUCGAACAGCAGCGGACGCAGUGGACCAAAACCCACCAAGCCAGUUGCUCUGUUUGGGUGUUUCUACAUGUUCUUGGAACUCCUGGGACUUGUUGAUUUCGUUAACCGUUUUUGGAGUAGCGGAUUCUGUAUUUUUAUUUAUAGUUGUCUGAGCCGCUUGAGACGGUUGAUUUGAUGCAUCAUGUUGCUGACGUUCAUUCGAGGUAGCUGCGACAGAUUCAUUUUCCUCGUUGGCCUCUUCUAUAGGAUUUUUCUCAUUCUUUUCUUCGUCAUUCUCAAGCUGAUCUAAAAAUUCCAGCAGUUCUUUUUCGUCCUGCACUUCAGAUGGGGCACCAAUUUUGGAGUCGUCGUUGUUGAACUCUUUGGAAGUGGGAUCUGCUUCCAUGCCAAGUUGAUCCAAUGAUGCCAUUAAUGUUUCGACAUCAUCAGUUUGCUCUUUGGUCUCUGCCAUACUGUUUAGCAGGAAUAUCACACGGUCUUGUCUAGUUGAUGAGUUUCGUAGGCUGAAAAA